This 466-nucleotide ribosomal RNA is filed under the name uncultured bacterium. Its description in RNAcentral is "partial 16S ribosomal RNA". It matches the Rfam family "Bacterial small subunit ribosomal RNA", at positions 28 to 507 of the family's 1533-position model. The record is from RNAcentral.
GACGAACGCUGGCGGCGUGCUUAACACAUGCAAGUCGAACGGAAAGGCCCUGCUUGCAGGGUACUCGAGUGGCGAACGGGUGAGUAACACGUGGGUGAUCUGCCCUGCACUUCGGGAUAAGCUUGGGAAACUGGGUCUAAUACCGGAUAGGAGCCAUCUUUAGUGUGGUGGUUGGAAAGUUUUUUCGGUGUAGGAUGAGCUCGCGGCCUAUCAGCUUGUUGGUGGGGUAAUGGCCUACCAAGGCGGCGACGGGUAGCCGGCCUGAGAGGGUGUACGGCCACAUUGGGACUGAGAUACGGCCCAGACUCCUACGGGAGGCAGCAGUGGGGAAUAUUGCACAAUGGGCGCAAGCCUGAUGCAGCGACGCCGCGUGGGGGAUGAAGGCCUUCGGGUUGUAAACUCCUUUCGCUAGGGACGAAGCUUUUUUGUGACGGUACCUAGAUAGGAAGCACCGGCUAACUACGUG